UGGGGAAUAUUGCACAAUGGGCGCAAGCCUGAUGCAGCCAUGCCGCGUGUAUGAAGAAGGCCUUCGGGUUGUAAAGUACUUUCAGCGAGGAGGAAGGCGUUGUGGUUAAUAACCGCAACGAUUGACGUUACUCGCAGAAGAAGCACCGGCUAACUCCGUGCCAGCAGCCGCGGUAAUACGGAGGGUGCAAGCGUUAAUCGGAAUUACUGGGCGUAAAGCGCACGCAGGCGGUCUGUCAAGUCGGAUGUGAAAUCCCCGGGCUCAACCUGGGAACUGCAUCCGAAACUGGCAGGCUAGAGUCUUGUAGAGGGGGGUAGAAUUCCAGGUGUAGCGGUGAAAUGCGUAGAGAUCUGGAGGAAUACCGGUGGCGAAGGCGGCCCCUUGGACAAAGACUGACGCUCAGGUGCGAAAGCGUGGGGAGCAAACA
Molecule: ribosomal RNA, 427 nt
Filed under: uncultured bacterium
Lineage: Bacteria
Description: partial 16S ribosomal RNA
Rfam family: Bacterial small subunit ribosomal RNA
Source: RNAcentral